Long non-coding RNA from Ictalurus punctatus (channel catfish), 541 nucleotides. The record is from Ensembl. NCBI's taxonomy places the organism in Eukaryota, Metazoa, Chordata, Actinopteri, Siluriformes, Ictaluridae.
GAAGACCUGCGACUGCCUGUCAGUGCAUCUGCACAGAGUCUGCAUGAAGACCGAUCCUGAAGAAGCCAUUGAAGCAGUAGUGGAGAGGGCGACGGCGGAAAUGCGUGUGCUUCUGGCAAAAGGCAGGGUGAUUAAUUACGACCGGCUGGGUCAGAUUUUGGGCUCUGCUGACCCAAUGAGCAGGCUGAUUGAGGAACUGGAGAGUCACUUUUGGUGGUGACCGAUGUGCCCCCACCACUACCUACUACCAGUGCAAGGGCAGAGCCUUCCUCCUCCAGAGCCACACAGCCAACAGAGUUGGACAGUGAACAGUCAGAGAGCUCCUGUCAGCGGUGGAAGAGCAGUUUUGAGACCUUUCAAUGUAACCCUGGUGUGCAGUGGACCAACCCGGUAAGAAAGCUGAUGGCAGAGAAGGGGCUUUACAAGAAGCACUCUAUCGACCAUGCAUUGCUGAAGGGUUUUUCUUCAUUUUUGUGGAAAGACCUUCAAAACCCUAAACAGGAGGUUGAAAACGUUGCACGUUUUCUGUGUUACAUGGACC